AGUAUCCUUGAGCAAGAUACUGAACCCCAAAUUGCUCCUGAUGCCAUGCAUCGGUGUGUGAAUGUGUAUGAAUGUUAGUUUCUGUUUGAUGGACUUUGCCAUCACUGAGUGAAUGUGUGUGAAAGGGUGAAUGUGGCACGUAGUGUAAAAGCGCUUUGAGUGGUCGGAAGACUAGAAAGGCGCUAUACAAGUACAGGUCCAUUUACCAUUUACCAUUUACACUUUUCCAACAAGCCACCCCUUGCUGUGGUGACUAAUGACUGAGUGUCCUCCUUCAGAAGCAAAGGCCAGAUAGAACCUCUGACAGUCUGGUCACACCAGAAAGUGAUUGUGAGAAUGCAUUUUAGUCAAAGCAUUCCACAUCUUUUCCUCUCCACACGGACUGUUGCCUGCAUGCAACCAAAGCGCGCUCAAACAUGAUUGCUACUACUAGUACUAAGUACUACUUGGACUACAAAUGGAAACCAGAACCCUUCUGAUGCCAAAUCUCAGUUCAUUUAUUGAAGAGGCUUAUCGUCUCUCAAUCAUCUGCAAACCAUGCGUCUUUUGUGACCAGUUCAUACUCCAGCAGGGCAUGGUAAUAAUAAAGUGAAUGGUGCAACAUAGCUAGUACACUAAGAUAGCUUCCUUUGUUUUUUACAGUUGGCUCUCUGUUGCCAUAAAGGUCACCACUGUCAAGACAGUUUGCUACCAGUUAGUGGCGCACAUAUGUGAGCCAAAGUUCACCCACGCUGACUUGUAUGGAUGAAUUACAAAUGAACUGCACACUGUCGUUGUGGAAGACACUGACAGACUACCUGUAUUGUCCCCAAAGUGUGAAGACUGCAUUCUCUUUGUAGUUUUUUAUUAAGUUGUAGAUUUGCCUUUCCAACUAAUUUUUUCCCACUUACAAAGAAAAUGCGUCACUAAAUGCAACGUAAUGUUACAAAGCUGCUUGUCAUGGUCUGACAACUGUUUUGUUCAGUUCAGCCGGUCCAUAUAAACUUUGUUAAUUAGGUUUAAUGGCUCAGCAACCACCCAUCUGCACCCAUGCACAGUAUUUAAAAGGUAAAGAGAGCUUCAGACUCUGAAUGACUUCUGAAAAACAUCAUUUUAGAUGCAGAGGUGGAGCUAUGCUUGGCGGGAUACAGGGGAAAGACCAUUAUCCACAUGGGACCCUUCGACUAAUGAAUUAAGAGACAGGAACUCAGUCUCAGAUAUUAACUACACCCACCUGAAUGGCUGUCUUUUUGUUAUAGUCAUGCAUUUUAUCCACCAUGAAAUGUACAGUAUAGCUCCACUGUCUGCUGGGGGUGGGCGUUAGGAAUAGUUUUUGUUAUUACUUUGUCCUGCCUAUAGCUAUGUGUAAAUGCAUUUUUAUCACACUUUUGUCGUCAACAAUAAAGAGGUUAGAUUUUUUAUUUUCAAAUUCC
Molecule: long non-coding RNA, 1412 nt
Organism: Dicentrarchus labrax (European seabass)
Lineage: Eukaryota; Metazoa; Chordata; Actinopteri; Moronidae
Exons: 2
Source: RefSeq, a predicted model, not a curated record